This 253-nucleotide ribosomal RNA is filed under the name uncultured bacterium. RNAcentral's name for it is "partial 16S ribosomal RNA". It matches the Rfam family "Bacterial small subunit ribosomal RNA", at positions 524 to 776 of the family's 1533-position model. The record is from RNAcentral.
UACGUAGGGGGCAAGCGUUGUCCGGAAUCAUUGGGCGUAAAGCGCGCGUAGGCGGCUCGAUCAGUCUGCUGUGAAAGUCAAAGGCUCAACCUUUGAAUGCCGGUGGAUACUGUCGAGCUAGAGUCCGGAAGAGGCGAGUGGAAUUCCUGGUGUAGCGGUGAAAUGCGCAGAUAUCAGGAGGAACACCAAUGGCGAAGGCAGCUCGCUGGGACGUGACUGACGCUGAGACGCGAAAGCGUGGGGAGCAAACGGG